CCUACGGGUGGCAGCAGUGAGGAAUAUUGGUCAAUGGGCGCGAGCCUGAACCAGCCAAGUAGCGUGAAGGAUGACUGCCCUACGGGUUGUAAACUUCUUUUAUAAAGGAAUACAGUGAGGCACGUGUGCCUUUUUUUAUGUACUUUAUGAAUAAUGAUCGGCUAACUCCGUGCCAGCAACCGCGGUAAUACGGGGGAUCCGAGCGUUAUCCGGAUUUAUUGGGUUUAAAGGGAGCGUAGAUGGGUUUUUAAGUCAGUUGUGAAAGUUUUCGGCUUAACCGUAAAAUUUCAAUUGAUAAUGGCAGCCUUGAGUACAGUUGAGGUAGGCGGAAUUCGUGGUGUAGCGGUGAAAUGCUUAGAUAUCACGAAGAACUCCGAUUGCGAAGGCAGCUUACUAAACUGCCACUGACAUUGAUGCUCGAAAGUGUGGGUAUCAAACAGGAUUAGAUACCCCUGUAGUC
Molecule: ribosomal RNA, 460 nt
Filed under: uncultured bacterium
Lineage: Bacteria
Description: partial 16S ribosomal RNA
Rfam family: Bacterial small subunit ribosomal RNA
Source: RNAcentral